CUGCAGCCAAUUAAACUCACUGUACUUGCUACCCUAUGAGGCUGUGUGUAGUGGCUGCCAACAGCAGCCUCCUGGGUAGUGUAUGCUGCCUGGCUUGUAAAGGAUACCUUAUGGGAACUUGGAGAUAGCC
This is a small nucleolar RNA of Erinaceus europaeus (western European hedgehog), 130 nucleotides long. Its record names the gene SNORA70. It matches the Rfam family "Small nucleolar RNA SNORA70". Rfam says of the family: snoRNA U70 seems to be exclusive to mammals and is a member of the H/ACA class of snoRNA which contain H (ANANNA) and ACA box motifs. H/ACA box snoRNAs are involved in the conversion of uridines to pseudouridines (5-ribosyluracil) a constituent of structural RNAs (transfer, ribosomal, small nuclear, and small nucleolar). Lineage: Eukaryota; Metazoa; Chordata; Mammalia; Eulipotyphla; Erinaceidae. The record is from Ensembl.